Molecule: ribosomal RNA, 253 nt
Filed under: uncultured bacterium
Lineage: Bacteria
Description: partial 16S ribosomal RNA
Rfam family: Bacterial small subunit ribosomal RNA
Source: RNAcentral
UACAGAGGUCUCAAGCGUUGUUCGGAUUCAUUGGGCGUAAAGGGUGCGUAGGCGGCGCGGUAAGUCGGGUGUGAAAUCUCGGAGCUUAACUCCGAAACUGCAUUCGAUACUGCCGUGCUUGAGGACUGGAGAGGAGACUGGAAUUUACGGUGUAGCGGUGAAAUGCGUAGAUAUCGUAAGGAAGACCAGUGGCGAAGGCGGGUCUCUGGGACGUUACUGACACUGAGGCGCGAAAGCGUGGGGAGCGAACAGG